This is a long non-coding RNA of Ananas comosus (pineapple), 484 nucleotides long. RefSeq lists it as uncharacterized. The record is from RefSeq and is a predicted model, not a curated record. Lineage: Eukaryota; Viridiplantae; Streptophyta; Magnoliopsida; Poales; Bromeliaceae. The transcript has 3 exons.
UAGAUUCCUUCCCGGGUUGCAGUGCUAGAGGAGUACUUCCCAAAGGUACCAUCCUGGUAAAAGUUAUGCCGAGCACAUAAGAUAGUGGUAUUUCUGACGGACUUGAAUACGCGCAUUUAAUGGGCAUUUGUCAUCCUGAUUUUUCGCUUGACAAUAUUUAUGUUAGCGAGGAAGUGACUGGACAUCAUGUGAAAAUUUUUUCGUUCAAAGGUAAUAUAUUUUAUAACUAAUUUGUCUUACUAGUUUAGACAUUAUAUCUUAGUAUACACUAUAUUUGUUUAUUCACUUAAUUUUUGUUGUUCAGAAAAGAUUUUUCAAAAACAACACGUGCAGCAAGUAAGUCAAAGCUAGAUGAUUAUAAAAGUAUUGAAAAUGUCAUAAGAGAAAGUUAUGACAUUGUCAAUUAUAAUUUUUGUGAUAUAGUAGAGGACUACAUCUUUUUUCUGGAAAACAAGAUUACGCACGUUACCAGUUGGUUGUUAGA